UGGGGAAUGGUGCAACGGCAGCACACCGCGCUCUGGACGCGGCGAUUCAGGUUCGAAUCCUGGUUCCUCAG
RNAcentral lists this transfer RNA (71 nucleotides) under Actinomadura rudentiformis. It matches the Rfam family "tRNA". From Rfam's summary of the family: Transfer RNA (tRNA) molecules are approximately 80 nucleotides in length. Their secondary structure includes four short double-helical elements and three loops (D, anti-codon, and T loops). Further hydrogen bonds mediate the characteristic L-shaped molecular structure. tRNAs have two regions of fundamental functional importance: the anti-codon, which is responsible for specific mRNA codon recognition, and the 3' end, to which the tRNAs corresponding amino acid is attached (by aminoacyl-tRNA synthetases). tRNAs cope with the degeneracy of the genetic code in two manners: having more than one tRNA (with a specific anti-codon) for a particular amino acid; and 'wobble' base-pairing, i.e. permitting non-standard base-pairing at the 3rd anti-codon position. The record is from Rfam by way of RNAcentral. Lineage: Bacteria; Bacillati; Actinomycetota; Actinomycetes; Streptosporangiales; Thermomonosporaceae. RNAcentral also lists the same sequence under 1 other name.